Dermacentor silvarum is the source of this 1201-nucleotide long non-coding RNA. RefSeq lists it as uncharacterized. NCBI's taxonomy places the organism in Eukaryota, Metazoa, Arthropoda, Arachnida, Ixodida, Ixodidae. The transcript is spliced from 2 exons. The record is from RefSeq and is a predicted model, not a curated record.
CGUGCGUGCGUGCGUGCGUGCGUGCGUGCGUGCGUGCGUGCGUGCGUGCGUGCGUGCGCGUGCGUGCGUGCGUGCCCGCGUUUUAUUCCCAUUUUCAACAAUGAUGUCAGAGUCCAGGAAUGACGGUGUCACUUCUCUAAGCAGAUGAUAAACUACCAUCAGUGUCAUCAAGAUAUUGAUGCCGUAGACUUGAAAAAGUGUGCCGUAAUAUACAUUUUCUUUAACCCAAUACAUACAUAUAUUUAUAUAUUAGUAGGAUUUUAUUAGUUCGAGGUGCCUUUGUGAAGCGCAUAAGGUGCGUUUAGUUGCACGCUGUCAACAGCAUGCCUUCAGCACUUUACUCUUGUCAGUGGUGAACGUAGCCACCAUAUUCUUUUGUACCAUCUCUUCGUAUAUGCAGCUUGGGGAUUCCGAAAAGUUUCAUUUAUCGUUAAGGUUACGCUGACUCUGUUCGUGCCACUUCUUCACCACGACUGCGAAAUACCGUUGCGAGAGCAUAGGAGAACGACAAUUUGAGAGCUGCGCACAAAUCACCAUAGGUGGGUAAUGUAUGGGGGAUGCCUCUAGUUGCGUAGAGUGCUGUUGCAGCGAUAAAAGGGUGAGGUAAAAGAGGAACUACACAUUACUGCUAGCAAAAGCGGGCUGCACUGAUAACAGUGAAGCCACAAAAUCAGUACUAUACACGGUUUUUCUCGUCAUAGAGCUUUAAAGCCGCUUUUCUCAAAUAAAACAGUGAUUUGAAAUGACCACACGAAUGUGCCAAAAUUCAUCGGUGACCUCAUGGUCAGGUGCACAGCGGAGUAGGUUAUUCGCGGUAGGAAAAUCAAUUUAAGUAAAAAAUAUUCUUGCUUGCUGCGCCGGCGCUACGCUGUAUGCGUAUUCAAAUCUGAUCACCCUUGUCACCCGGGAAAAUAAUUCUAUGCAGUGCUGGUAGUGCCACAGUAGCAAUUUUAUGGAGGCCCUGGUAAGAUGAAAAAGGCAAAGCUUCUCAGCUAGUCCUCGUCGCCAUAUUGUUUACCUUUCACUAAAUAUAUUCUGAACAAUGUCAUGUACAGAUUGUUUUUCAAGCAAUAACUAAUUUAACAAUGUAAUAAAAUCCUUCUUUUACACCAUUAUUUUUUCCUUUUGUCGGAUUUUAACCUCUCAAAAUGGCGACAGUGUCCAUGUUUUCGUGUAAAUAAACUGUAUGUCGUCAUGUUUA